CUUAUCAAGAGAGGCAGAGGGACAGACCCUGUGAAGCCCAGCAACCACCCCAUUAGGAGACGGUGCUAAUUCCUACAAAACGAAAACAUUUGAGAGAUGAGG
RNAcentral lists this non-coding RNA (102 nucleotides) under uncultured Terrisporobacter sp. RNAcentral describes it as "SAM riboswitch (S box leader)". It matches the Rfam family "SAM riboswitch aptamer (S box leader)". Rfam says of the family: The SAM riboswitch is found upstream of a number of genes which code for proteins involved in methionine or cysteine biosynthesis in Gram-positive bacteria. The SAM riboswitch acts at the level of transcription termination control. The predicted structure consists of a complex stem-loop region followed by a single stem loop terminator region. The record is from RNAcentral. Lineage: Bacteria; Bacillati; Bacillota; Clostridia; Peptostreptococcales; Peptostreptococcaceae.